Molecule: ribosomal RNA, 217 nt
Filed under: uncultured bacterium
Lineage: Bacteria
Description: partial 16S ribosomal RNA
Rfam family: Bacterial small subunit ribosomal RNA
Source: RNAcentral
CCGUAGCCCAAGAGACUGGGAUAACACCUGGAAACAGAUGCUAAUACCGGAUAACAACACUAGACGCAUGUCUAGAGUUUAAAAGAUGGUUCUGCUAUCACUCUUGGAUGGACCUGCGGUGCAUUAGCUAGUUGGUAAGGUAACGGCUUACCAAGGCAAUGAUGCAUAGCCGAGUUGAGAGACUGAUCGGCCACAUUGGGACUGAGACACGGCCCAA